This 253-nucleotide unclassified non-coding RNA is filed under the name uncultured bacterium. RNAcentral describes it as "contains 16S-23S intergenic spacer region". It matches the Rfam family "Bacterial small subunit ribosomal RNA", at positions 524 to 776 of the family's 1533-position model. The record is from RNAcentral.
UACGAGGGUGGCAAGCGUUGCUCGGAUUCAUUGGGUGUAAAGGGCAAGUAGGCGGUUUGGUAAGUCGGAUGUGAAAGCCCCGGGCUCAACCUGGGAAAUGCAUCUGAUACUGCUGAACUUGAGGACGAGAGAGGAAAGUGGAAUAUCCGGUGUAAGGGUGAAAUCUGUAGAUAUCGGAUAGAACACCAGUGGCGAAGGCGACUUUCUGGCUCGUAUCUGACGCUGAGAGGCGAAAGCUAGGGGAGCGAACAGG